RNAcentral lists this ribosomal RNA (508 nucleotides) under uncultured Glomeromycotina. RNAcentral's name for it is "SSU rRNA". It matches the Rfam family "Eukaryotic small subunit ribosomal RNA", at positions 569 to 1078 of the family's 1831-position model. Lineage: Eukaryota; Fungi; Glomeromycota. The record is from RNAcentral.
AGCAGCCGCGGUAAUUCCAGCUCCAAUAGCGUAUAUUAAAGUUGUUGCAGUUAAAAAGCUCGUAGUUGAAUUUCGGGAUCAAUAUGUCGGUCGUGCCUUCGGUACGCACUGGUAUCAUUGGUUUCUCCUUUCUGACGAACCAUGAUGUCAUUAAUUUGGUGUUAUGGGGAGUUAGGACUGUUACUUUGAAAAAAUUAGAGUGUUUAAAGCAGGCUUUAGCUUGAAUACAUUAGCAUGGAAUAAUGAAAUAGGACGUUCGAACCUAUUUUGUUGGUUUCUAGGAUCAACGUAAUGAUUAAUAGGGAUAGUUGGGGGCAUUAGUAUUCAAUUGUCAGAGGUGAAAUUCUUGGAUUUAUUGAAGACUAACUACUGCGAAAGCAUNUGCCAAGGAUGUUUUCAUUAAUCAAGAACGAAAGUUAGGGGAUCGAAGACGAUCAGAUACCGUCGUAGUCUUAACCAUAAACUAUGCCGACUAGGGAUCGGNUGAUGUUAAUUUUUUAAUGACUCA